GACGAACGCUGGCGGCGCGCUUAACACAUGCAAGUCGAACGGAAAGGCCUGCUUUCCCUUGUGGAUUGCGGGUACUCGAGUGGCGAACGGGUGAGUAACACGUGAGUGAUCUGCCCCCAACUUGGGUAUAAGCCUGGGAAACUGGGUCUAAUUCCCGAUAGGACUGCAGGGUGGUGCCUGUGGUGGAAAACGAUUUUCUAGUGGUUGGGGAUGAGCUCGCGGCCUAUCAGCUUGUUGGUGGGGUAAUGGCCUACCAAGGCGGCGACGGGUAGCCGGCCUGGGAGGGUGGACGGCCCCAUUGGGACUGGGAUACGGCCCCGACUCCUACGGGAGGCAGCAGUGGGGAAUAUUGCACCAUGGGCGGAAGCCUGAUGCAGCGACGCCGCGUGGGGGAUGACGGCCUUCGGGUUGUAAACUCCUUUCGACCGCGAGGAAGCCACCUGGUUGGAAGGGUGGUGACGGUAGUGGUAGAAGAAGCACCGGCUAACUACGUG
RNAcentral lists this ribosomal RNA (494 nucleotides) under uncultured bacterium. RNAcentral's name for it is "partial 16S ribosomal RNA". It matches the Rfam family "Bacterial small subunit ribosomal RNA", at positions 28 to 507 of the family's 1533-position model. The record is from RNAcentral.